CAGUCCAAUAUUCGGGUCCUGUCCCUCCAUCCCAACCAAAGAACUGCCCCCAACAUGCAUUGUGCAUCAUUAGAGGUGUGAGCGCUAUGUUCAGGGCACUAGCACACUGCAGAGAUUACUGAAAUAGUGCUCCCUGCAGGGUCUUCCCUAAGUGGGCCAAUCUUAAACGACAGACAGGCAGCCUGGUGUGUUCAAAGGGGAAUGUGCCC
Pelobates cultripes (western spadefoot toad) is the source of this 209-nucleotide non-coding RNA. NCBI's taxonomy places the organism in Eukaryota, Metazoa, Chordata, Amphibia, Anura, Pelobatidae. The record is from the annotation of a GenBank genome assembly.